This 1071-nucleotide ribosomal RNA is filed under the name Triticum aestivum (bread wheat). Its description in RNAcentral is "partial small subunit ribosomal RNA". The record is from RNAcentral. Lineage: Eukaryota; Viridiplantae; Streptophyta; Magnoliopsida; Poales; Poaceae.
AUGUUGUUGAAAGGGAUACAUCAGUUGAGGCAAAAGUCAUGGAGAGUAUAUGCAAGAGGCUACGUAAACUAUGGGUAUUGGCUGUUGCUUUCAGCCGGGAACAUCUUCCAAACUAUGAUGGAGAAGUUCCUGGUACCAGAAUCCAUGAGACAGUUAAAGGACCUAUGCUAUCUUGCUUUCAGGACAUUCGAAUGCACCGUAAUUUUACCAAGCACACUAACGAAUAAACUUCACCAGAUGCAGCUGCUAGACUUUGGUAAUCAUAGCAAUGGCCAAAUUUGGGAAUUUACCCUUGAUAACCUUAUGAACCUGCGAUACAUAAUUUGUGAGAACUUAGACUGUCCUAACAUAGGCAGGCUGAUCUCACUCCAAGCGUUACCAAGCAGCAGGUUCACUGUGAGGAAUGAACAUGGUUAUGAGAUAAAGCAGCUUAAGGACCUAAACAAGCUUCGUGGCAGCUUGACAAUCUAUGGCCUUGAAAAUGUUAAAAGCAAGGAGGAAGCUGUUGUAGCCAAUAUAGGUGCCAAGGAUCAGUUGAAGGAACUGAAGUUGGAAUGGGGUGAUGAUGGUACAAGGUGCAGUUCAGAAGUUGAAGCAGAGGUGGGCCUGCGCCCUCCCGUAGGUCUUGAAGAACUGAUUAUCUCAGGCUAUAAAAGCUCGAGAAACCUAGAUUGGAUGGUGGGUAAACAGAAUGGUGGCCCAGAGAACCUGCAAAAACUUGUGUUGUUUGGAUGGAGCCAACCGGGAUCUUGUCCUGAACUUGAGGCGUUCCUUCAUCUUCGUGUGCUCUGGCUUGGUCACUGCAGGUGGGACACAUUGCCAGCCAGUAUUGAGCACCUCACAUCGCUCAAGGAACUGGAAAUCGAAGGGUGCUUGAAUAUCCGGUCGCUUCCAACACUGCCCCGAUCUCUUGAGAAGUUUUCUGUUGCAUACUGCAGUGGUGAGUUCACGAAGUCAUGUCAAACAGUCAGACAUCCAAAUUGGCAGAAGAUCAAGCACAUCCCCGACCAAAGAUUUGAAGACCCAGCAUGUAAGACUGUAAUCCUGUUUUCUACUUUUUUUGUAUCAUGA